AUUGAACGCUGGCGGCAUGCUUUACACAUGCAAAUCGAACGGUAACAGGCCUUCGGGUGCUGACGAGUGGCGAACGGGUGAGUAAUGCAUCGGAACGUGCCCAGAGGUGGGGGAUAACGCAGCGAAAGCUGUGCUAAUACCGCAUGUGAUCUGAGGAUGAAAGCGGGGGACCAGGCAGCAAUGUUUGGCCUCGCGCCUUUGGAGCGGCCGAUGUCAGAUUAGGUAGUUGGUGGGGUAAAGGCCUACCAAGCCGACGAUCUGUAGCUGGUCUGAGAGGACGACCAGCCACACUGGGACUGAGACACGGCCCAGACUCCUACGGGAGGCAGCAGUGGGGAAUUUUGGACAAUGGGCGCAAGCCUGAUCCAGCAAUGCCGCGUGCGGGAAGAAGGCCUUCGGGUUGUAAACCGCUUUUGUACGGAACGAAAAGGCUCUGGCUAAUACCUGGGGCUGAUGACGGUACCGUAAGAAUAAGCACCGGCUAACUACGUG
Molecule: ribosomal RNA, 492 nt
Filed under: uncultured bacterium
Lineage: Bacteria
Description: partial 16S ribosomal RNA
Rfam family: Bacterial small subunit ribosomal RNA
Source: RNAcentral